This 75-nucleotide transfer RNA is filed under the name Ackermannviridae sp. Its description in RNAcentral is "tRNA-Val". It matches the Rfam family "tRNA". From Rfam's summary of the family: Transfer RNA (tRNA) molecules are approximately 80 nucleotides in length. Their secondary structure includes four short double-helical elements and three loops (D, anti-codon, and T loops). The record is from RNAcentral. Lineage: Duplodnaviria; Heunggongvirae; Uroviricota; Caudoviricetes; Pantevenvirales; Ackermannviridae.
GGUUCAAUAGCUCAGUUGGUUUAGAGCAUCUGUUUUACAAGCAGAAGGUCCAAAGUUCGAAUCUUUGUUGAACCA